This 973-nucleotide long non-coding RNA is filed under the name Homo sapiens (human). Its description in RNAcentral is "HSALNT0036755". The record is from RNAcentral. Lineage: Eukaryota; Metazoa; Chordata; Mammalia; Primates; Hominidae.
CAAGCUUUUCUUUCAAAAAUGGAUACCCAGCCACCCCCAAAUAAAUUCAUCAUUUCUAUACUAACACUUAAUAUAAGCAACCUUGCCUUUUUAUUUCUCCAAAGGACUAGGAAUCAUUUUAUUUGAUUGUGGAAGCAGAGAAUGACAAGGGAUGGACCUCUUGAGAUGACAGCCUGACAGCCUUUAAAUCAAGGAGGAUCUCUUUUUUAGCAAGCAUGAAGAUUAAACAGACUAAUGAAUCAGUGUUUUAGACCAUCCAGUCCUGGGAGAUCACAUCAGAGUCCCAUCAGCCACGGUCAGGUCAAGGAACAUUCUUUCCUGUCAACUGGCAAGCCUCCUAUUGUUGUGUUGAAAGUCUUGCUCCUCUCUGGGAAAUUACUCUACUUAAUGGAGACAGAUGUCACUGCACAUAAUUUUAUAGUUCUAAGGAUCUAAAAGGUAAGCUCUCCUUAACCAGUGUAGUUGGGGGCAAAAAAAAUGUGGUUGUGUCUAUUUUAUAUUCUGGAAUUAGUUUCUUUCCACCAUAUGUCAAUUUCAUUUUUAAUAGAGAAAUUUUUAUUCUACUUGUCUAAAUGUUCUCAUAAAAAGGAAAUAUCCAAUGUGCCAUUGCCUUCAGAGUUUCCUAGAAAUUCCUUGAUCUGUCACCAUUCAGUGGACAUGAAUGUAAAUUUUAAGAGACUUAAAGCUUUCAAGAGGGCUCUGAGUCAAGCUCCUUCUCACCUCUCAGUUAUAUCUCUGGAUUAAUCAAAAUUCGUGAUGCAGUUCUUUUGAAGUUGUUAAUUUUAUUUGAGACAGUCAUAUAUGCUCAGUACAUAGGGAAGCAUAAGUGCAGUUUUUUUCUUUCCUUCUCCUAGCCAGUAUUAUUCUAGAAAACAAAAUUACGUAAAAAUUGCACUGAAGUUGCAAAGCAGAUAUUAGAUUUUUGUUCUAAAAUGAAUCUCGAUGAUGCUUAUCUUAAUGAAUAAGAGAUAGG